GGUGGAUUUAUUAGAACAGAACCAACCGGCGGUGACUUCGGUUGCUGUCGUUGCAUUCUGUGAUGACUCUGGAUAACUUUACUGAUCGCAGUCGGCCUUGUGUCGGCGACGGAUCUUUCAAAUGUCUGCCCUAUCAAUUUUCGAUGGUAGGUGACCUGCCUACCAUGGUGAUAACGGGUAACGGGGAAUCAGGGUUCGAUUCCGGAGAGGGAGCCUGAGAAACGGCUACCACUUCCAAGGAAGGCAGCAGGCGCGCAAAUUACCCAAUCCCGGCACGGGAGGUAGUGACGAAAAAUACGGAUACGGGACUCAUUAGAGGCUCCGUAAUUCGAAUGAGUACAAUUUAAAUCCUUUAACGAGGAUCAACUGGAGGGCAAGUCUGGUGCCAGCAGCCGCGGUAACUCCAGCUCCAGAAGCGUAUAUUAAAGUUGUUGCAGUUAAAAAGCUCGUAGUUGGAUCUGGGUCGCAUGGCUACAUGCCGUUGCUCGUAUUCCUGGCCUGGUUCACACCGGGACGGGUUUGUGAGUCGGUGUCGUGGUUGUGCAGCCUUUCUGCCGUGUCUGUUUCGACAGGUGUUAGCAUGAUUGGUGGGUUCGUCCUGCUGAUCUGUUGACAUGCUUCCAGGUGCCCUUAACCGGGUGUCGGGGGCGGACGGCACGUUUACUUUGAACAAAUUUGAGUGCUCAAAGCAGGCCCGUGUGCCUGAAAAUUCUUGCAUGGAAUAAUGGAAUAGGACUUCGGUUCUAUUUUGUUGGUUUUCGGAUCCGAAGUAAUGGUUAAAAGGGACAGACGGGGGCAUUUGUAUGGCGGUGUUAGAGGUGAAAUUCUUGGAUCACCGCCAGACAAACUACAGCGAAAGCAUUUGCCAAGGAUGUUUUCAUUGAUCUGGAGCGAAAGUCAGAGGUUCGAAGACGAUCAGAUACCGUCCUAGUUCUGACCAUAAACGAUGCCAACUGACGAUCCGUGGUGGCGCGAUUAUUGGCCCCGCGGGCAGCCCCCGGGAAACCUUUAAGUCUUUGGGCUCCGGGGGAAGUAUGGUUGCAAAGCUGAAACUUAAAUGAAUUGACGGA
RNAcentral lists this ribosomal RNA (1070 nucleotides) under Clonorchis sinensis. RNAcentral describes it as "SSU rRNA". It matches the Rfam family "Eukaryotic small subunit ribosomal RNA", at positions 200 to 1160 of the family's 1831-position model. The record is from RNAcentral. Lineage: Eukaryota; Metazoa; Platyhelminthes; Trematoda; Opisthorchiida; Opisthorchiidae.